AUCGAUAAAACAAUACAAACGUCAUCGCAAGCGUACAAUAUAAUUAUAAUUAUAUUUACAUGAACACGAGCGGGGUACACAAUAUUUAUUACGGUAAUAUUUAUAAUAAUAAUAUAAUCAUAAUAUACAACCACGGUUAUAGACGGAACGGUUGCCGAACGAGUUGUGAUAAGGGAGCUUCGCAUUAGUGGUACAGUCUUCGUAACGCUCCGCACGGAAACGUUAACACUAUUACACCGUGCAUAUGUUUACUAACGAUACGGUUUGUUGCCGUAAUAACGAUUUUUAUGUAAUUUAUUCCAUAGACCUAUUAAAGAUCGUGGACUGAUAAUCCCUAUAGUUCCCCAAAGGCGGCACUGUUAGAAGAAGAUAGAGACGGAUUUUUUUUUGACAGAAAUCGUAGAAAACAGGCGUAUAGUGAAUAUUUAGUAUGUUCUUGCGUCAGCUGGCUAGUCCUCGGGAAGACUAUAAUAUUAUAUCAAUCACGAUUCUACCCAUUGGCCCAUAAAAAGACCGAUUACCCGAGCCCGAAUUAAGAGUUGUGGAGGACCGGGGGUCCAAAUUAAUACAAGGAGAUUUAUUCUAUUAUAAUGGAAUAAAUACGCAAAAAAAAAAAAAUCGACCAAAUAUUUUAUUCAACCCAUGAUUUUUACGGGAUCUUGUUUCUCGUAAGCCCCGGGUACGUGGCCCCCUCUGACCACCCUUAAUCCGGGCCUGUAACUACCUACCAUAUAACUGAUAAUAACCACUUUGAUGUUUUUUCCUUCUACGAUAUCUCAAUGUUGUUCGUCUUUUUCUGCAAUAAUGUCGAAACUCAUACGUCUCUUUCUACUACUAUCCGUCCGUCUCUUUACAAGGUCUAUGAAUCAUCCGUAUUCCAAUAUACAGUAACUACAACAGUAGUGUAUGUAGUCGGUAGAUACACUUAUCUGCUAUAAUUUUUUUUAAAAAAACAUUCGGGGUCCACGAUGAUAAUUUGUCCACGUAUUACAGUUCGUCCGCGGUAACCGUUCCACCCGUAAUCGUGUAUAUACAACAUUAAUUAUAAACGAUCAAUAUGAUAUUUACACAAAACCGCAAUUCGUUACAAUAAACAUAAUACAAUAAACAUUGUUGGUACUAGCGUAAUAUGAAUAAUUAUAUUGUGAUUAAAGUAGUUUACAUAGAAUCGACUGUUUGACGUAGAUAGGUAUAUAAGUACACGAAAAUAUUAUAAGUAUAAUCUUCCGGUCGAAUACAAUCGAAAACAUUACGGACAAGAAAUGGUAUUAUAUAUAUAUAUAUAUUUUUUUUUUUUUUUUACGGCGUACUAAAACAGUAAAUCUAUAAUAAAUUCGAAUGUAAAACAAACCGACGGGUAGGUAUGGUAUAGCGGUACAUAAAUUAUUAUAUACCACGAUUGCGUUACACGGACCACUUAAAUAAUUAUCGUAAUCGCGAGUGUGUGAGAGGAGAGAGAUAUGUAGAGAGAAAAAGAGAGGGAGAGAGAGAGAGAGAGAGAGAGAGCUUAAGUAUAUUAUAUAGUACGCGUAACCUUAACGUUUUAAUGCGCCUGGCAACCGAUCUCGGAAUAAUAAUAAUAAUAUUAUUAUUCCGUAUAGUACGGUAAUUUUCCGCGGGAAUUGUACAGAGCGAUCCGUUUGUCUAACCAAACGAUUUUCUUGGACGAUGUCGAGGGGAUUUAUUUCGUUUCGCCGUUAAAUAAUGUACAGAAUCGUUUGAGGUUUAUUUAACACUGUCCUCUGCAUUAUCUACUCGUGUUCCUCAUAAUAUUUAAACAAGUACACGAUUUUUAACGCUAAUAUAUCGGAUUUAUCGUUCGUAAGUUAUAACUGAGUUAUAGCGGUUAAAAGUUCAGACCGGAGGAGAAAGAAAAGGGUUAAAUGUAUCGUUUACAUUCUUAUAAUUCCUCUGCUAAAUCCAAUAAUAGUGUUGUGCACAUGAAAACUUAUGGACAAAUAGCCACUUUUCGAAUCUAAAUUGAAGGUUUCUUUACCCCCGUACAAGGUAUGAGGAGCGUGGCUGAACAGUAGGAUAUAGUUUUAAAAUAAAGCGUAAACGACUUUAAAAUGAUUGAAAGAUACUAGAAAUCAAUGAAAUCCGUUGAAAAUUCUUUGAGAAAAGCCCCAGCUCAUGAUGAAUGGACCACCCUGUAUAUUAUAACGAAAAUGUUUUAUUGACGCGUCGACGGAUAAUUUUCGCAAACUCGUGAGAGGGGGGGGGGUGGAGGACGUUAUGAAUAAUAAUUAUAUUACUUAUGAAAUUAUUAUUUCCCCUGUCGAGUGUACAUAGGAGUACUGCACUUACACUGCCGACAUCGUCGUUCCGGAAGAAUAUUUAUUAUGUAAUCGCGCAAUUAUUAUAACUCCGAAUACGAGUUUGUUUUAUCAUUUUUUAAUUUUUUUUUUUUUUUUUUUUUGAUAAAACAUGAAACAACUAAUUUAUUUGCAUACGUGAUAUUUUAUAUUUAAAUAUAAUGUGCGCCAAACGGAAUAAACGUCCGAAAGCGUCGGCCCAAAUCGCAAAGGUCGUAUACCAUCGUGUUCAAAAUGCCAAGUAUUGUUCGAGGGGAAAAAAAACUAUAGAUAAUAUAAUAACAUGUGCAUUUAUAAAUUAUUUUGUUAGUCCAACAUUAUAAAAAAAAAAAAAACAAUACAGUACGUGUAACGAUUUUCCAACUAUAAAAAAAUACUAUGUCGAUUAUAAUUAUUAUUAUUAUUUUUUUUUUUAUCGGGCUCGGAAUUAUUUAUCUUUAUAAUUAUCAUCUCUAAUAUUAUCUCUUAUUUAACACGAAUAUACGACCGUGUAUGGUUUUUGCGUCGGAGUUAGAACUGUUUCGCGGUUUAUCGCGGAGUCGGACGAAAGAACCGAACGACGCGGACGUUUUUCCUGACAUUUGAAUCGUAAAUAAAAAGAGUUACUACCUUUGUGGUCUGGGUAGGUCGGCGAUAUUUUUUUUUUUUUUACAGAAGCGGACGCGUAUAAUCGUAAAUCCGGACGUUAAUAACGGCCCGGAUGUUUCGGGCGGGCUCAUUAUUAAUUCCCGUACGAUUGACAUCGAUCAUGUACAUCUACGCUGUGUGUUCGGCUGUAUGCUAAUUGUGGCCCGAUACCCGAACCGGGGAAAAAAACAAUACACUAAUUGAGUCUGGGGUAUAAACGAGAAACAUAUCGACCGAGUCCGCGGUUGGGAAACCGAAAAUAUACUAAUUGAUGAUUCCGAGUAUUACUUUGAGUAAAAUACAAAAUCAACCAUAAUACACGAUGAGACCGAUACGGUUAUGAAGACCGUUUACGUGCAUAUAUCAUCUUUAUAACUUUCGUAUUAUAACAAAUGUUUACCAAUAUUAACAAUGUAAUUUUGAUGUUUUUUUGUAAAAAAAAAAAAGUUCGACGGGGACGCAGUCGGUAUUAAAACAUGGACUCGAUGAUUAUUAUAGCUAAAAUUUCAAAAUGACCCGAUUAGUGUAUGUACCUAAAACCAACCGGGGACUCGAUUCGUAUGCGGCCGAGUGUUUACUCGUCGAGCGCUUGAUUUGGCGGGGGCGCGGCCGAUAUUCGGCAGGACUGAGGUUCCCUGGCCCGCCGUUCGCGCGUUACGGUACACGAAUCUGUGAAACGCAGAUCGCCGAAAUUUUUAACCGCUGGUAACUGUGCGCAUGGACGCCAUUUGACGGGGUUCAGACUGCAAUUCGGCGGUCCUGUUUUUUGUGAACGUGUCUUUUGGCCCGCUCGUAAAAUGUUAUACAAACGCUCCGACGUCGAUAAAACGCAAAACGCAACCACUGUCAACGGUCGCCUCCUCCGGGGCCCGGCCGUUUGAGAUAUUGUAAAUGUGAAACACGGACGAUCACGGUUAAUAAUUGUUUUUCACGGCUUACGGUUAACGAUAGUGCCGCCGUGGUAUCAGCGCGAUUUUAAUGUCGCCCGACUGAUUGCAGCGAACAGAGUAUGACGCACGGUGUUGAAUUCAACGUGUGGUUUCUUAAUUGUUUUUAAAAAGAAACAUUUCAGUAUUUGAAUGUUAAAACGCGUACGGCGGGAAUACGAGCGAACGGAAUUUGUUUUUCUUACACACGAACAAGAUACGACAACAUAUCAGUGGCCUGGCGGCGGCGAAAAAUUGGCCCGGUUCAAACGCGUUCGCGUCCCGAUCGAAAAACAAAAAAAAAAAAAAAAAAAACCGAAAUGCCCGCGCCACCGCACGCGCGUCGACCGUUAUUACACGGCCGCGGGCCGUUAGCGUUCUUGUAAAAAGUCAACGGAUUUCACGCCCGGCGAAUUACGCCGGCCGUCGCGGUGCGUGAAAAAAAAAAAAAAAAAAAAAAAAACCCGCGUAGCUAUUCGGCCGCCCGCGUAAUAACAGUACACGUUAAAUACGAACGUAUACAUUAUUACGUUUACAAAACAAAGUUAUAACACCGCGAGUAUUCGUUAAAAGCGUCGCGUGCCGGAGGGAUCGCGAUUUAUAUUGUACAAAUUACUACCUACGCAAGUCUCGUAUGAUUUAUUGAAAUUCUACAAAGGUUUUUAUACGUAUAUACCGUGUAAAUAUAGAUUUCGUUAUGUUACGCGUACACACAUCGUACCUACUUGCGUUAGAAAACGGCGUUAGGUUUGAACA
Cinara cedri is the source of this 4624-nucleotide non-coding RNA. The record is from the annotation of a GenBank genome assembly. NCBI's taxonomy places the organism in Eukaryota, Metazoa, Arthropoda, Insecta, Hemiptera, Aphididae.